UACGAAGGGGGCUAGCGUUGCUCGGAAUGACUGGGCGUAAAGGGCGCGUAGGCGGCUCGGCUUGUUAGACGUGAAAUUCCUGGGCUCAACCUGGGGACUGCGUUUAGGACGGCCGGGCUGGAGUUCGGAAGAGGGUCGUGGAAUUCCCAGUGUAGAGGUGAAAUUCGUAGAUAUUGGGAAGAACACCGGUGGCGAAGGCGGCGACCUGGUCCGAUACUGACGCUGAGGCGCGAAAGCGUGGGGAGCAAACAGG
Molecule: ribosomal RNA, 253 nt
Filed under: uncultured bacterium
Lineage: Bacteria
Description: partial 16S ribosomal RNA
Rfam family: Bacterial small subunit ribosomal RNA
Source: RNAcentral